GGGGGAUAAGCUUCAUUGUCAAGAGGGAAACAGCCCAGAUCACCAUUUAAGGCCCCUAAAUAAUUGCUAAGUGAUAAAGGAUGUAAUAGUACAUAGACAACCAGGAGGUUUGCCUAGAAGCAGCAAUCCUUUAAAAAGUGCGUAAUAGCUUACUGGUCAAGUGCUUUUGCGCCGAAAAUGAAUGGGACUAAGUAAUUUGCCGAAAGUGUGAGAUUAUAUCGGUAGAAGAGCGUUCUGUAUUAGUGUGAAGCAAUGGCGGGAGCUUUUGUGGACUAUUCAGAAGUGAGAAUGACAGCUUAAGUAACGAAAACAUUGGUGGAAAUCCAAUGCUCCGAAAACCUAAGGAUUCCCUCGCAAGGUUCGUCCACGAGGGGUUAGUCAGGACCUAAAAUGAGGUUUAAAAACAUAGUUGAUGGUUAACGGGUUAAUAUUCCCGUACUGCUUAUUUGUUUUGUUAAAGUUGACGAAGGAGGCUAGUUCGGCCAGUUUUUGGUUAUUAUUGGUUAAAUCUUCAAAGGCGUAGAGAUUAGUUAUAAAAAACUUUUUGAGCUAAUGAGAAAUUACGAUAGGUGUUACGGCACUGAAAGUGAAUGAGGUCAAACUUCCUAGAAAAUACUUGGUAACGUUUAACAGAUAGUACCUGUACCUUAAACUGACACAGGUAGGUUAGUAGAGAAUACUAAGGAGCGCGAGAUAACUCUUUCUAAGGAACUCGGCAAAAUGACUCUGUAACUUCGGGAGAAAGAGUGCCUUAUAUUUAUAAGGCCGCAGUGAUCAGAUCCAAGCGACUGUUUACCAAAAACACAGGUCUCCGCUAAGUUGAAAAACAAUGUAUGGGGGCUGACGUCUGCCCAGUGCCGGAAGGUUAAAGAAAUUGGUUAGCAAUUGCGAAGCUAGUGACUGAAGCCCUGGUGAACGGCGGCAGUAACUAUAACUGUCCUAAGGUAGCGAAAUUCCUUGUCGGGUAAGUUCCGACCUGCACGAAAGACGUAACGAUUUGGAUACUGUCUCAGGAAGAGGCUCGGUGAAAUAGAAUUGACUGUGAAGAUGCGGUCUACUUACACUUGGACAGAAAGACCCUAUGAAGCUUUACUGUAACUUGAAAUUGGUUUUGGAUUUUUUUUGCGCAGGGAAUAGGUGGGAGGCUAUGAACCUCUUUUUCGGAAGAUGGGGAGCUGUAAUGUGAGAUACCACUCUUGAAAAAUUAGAAAUCUAAUGAUAUUUUAAUCAUGAUAUUUGACAGUUUCAGGUGGGCAGUUUUACUGGGGCGGUAGCCUCCUAAAAGGUAACGGAGGCGCACAAAGGUUUUCUCAGGCUGGACGGAAAUUAGUUGUAGAGUGUAAAGAUAUAAGAAAGCUUGACUGUGAGACUUAUAAGUCGAACAGAGACAAAAGUCGGUCUUAGUGAUCCGAAGUUGCUGUGUGGAAAGGACUUCGCUUAUCAGAUAAAAGUUACUCUAGGGAUAACAGGCUGAUCUCCCCCAAGAGUUCACAUCGACGGGGAGGUUUGGCACCUCGAUGUCGGCUCAUCGCAUCCUGGGGCAGUAGUAUGUCCCAAGGGUUAGGCUGUUCGCCUAUUAAAGCGGUACGUGAGCUGGGUUCAGAACGUCGAGAGACAGUUCGGUCCAUAUCCGGUGUAAGCGUUAGAGCAUUGAAAGGAGCUUUCCUUAGUACGAGAGGACCGGGAAUGACACACCACUGAUUUGCCAGUUUUUGUACCAACGGAAAACGCUGGGUAGUCACGUGUGGAGUGGAUAACUGCUGAAAGAAUA
This 1771-nucleotide ribosomal RNA is filed under the name Cryptoglena skujai. RNAcentral's name for it is "LSU rRNA". It matches the Rfam family "Bacterial large subunit ribosomal RNA", at positions 993 to 2781 of the family's 2925-position model. Lineage: Eukaryota; Euglenozoa; Euglenophyceae; Euglenales; Euglenaceae. The record is from RNAcentral.